UACGAAGGGGGCUAGCGUUACUCGGAUUGACUGGGCGUAAAGGGCGCGUAGGCGGUUUGUACAGUCAGACGUGAAAUUCCUGGGCUCAACCUGGGGGCUGCGUUUGAUACGUGCGGACUUGAGUUCGGAAGAGGGUCGUGGAAUUCCCAGUGUAGAGGUGAAAUUCGUAGAUAUUGGGAAGAACACCGGUGGCGAAGGCGGCGACCUGGUCCGAUACUGACGCUGAGGUGCGAAAGCGUGGGGAGCAAACAGG
This 253-nucleotide ribosomal RNA is filed under the name uncultured bacterium. RNAcentral describes it as "partial 16S ribosomal RNA". It matches the Rfam family "Bacterial small subunit ribosomal RNA", at positions 524 to 776 of the family's 1533-position model. The record is from RNAcentral.